GACGAACGCUGGCGGCGUGCUUAACACAUGCAAGUCGAACGGAAAGGCCCCUUUGGGGGUACUCGAGUGGCGAACGGGUGAGUAACACGUGAGUAACCUGCCCUUGACUUCGGGAUAACUUCAGGAAACUGGGGCUAAUACCGGAUAGGAAUCAUUGCUGCAUGGUGGGGGUUGGAAAGCUUCGGCGGUUUUGGGUGGACUCGCGGCCUAUCAGCUUGCUGGUGGGGUAGUGGCUUACCCAGGCUUUGACGGGUAGCCGGCCUGGGGGGGCGACCGGCCACCUUGGGACUGAGAUACGGCCCAGACUCCUACGGGGGGCCGCAGUGGGGAAUAUUGCCCAAUGGGCGGAAGCCUGAUGCCGCAACGCCGCGUGCGGGAUGACGGCCUUCGGGUUGUAAACCGCUUUCAGCAGGGGCGAAGCUUGUGGUGACGGUACCUGCAGAAGAAGCACCGGCUAACUACGUG
Molecule: ribosomal RNA, 465 nt
Filed under: uncultured bacterium
Lineage: Bacteria
Description: partial 16S ribosomal RNA
Rfam family: Bacterial small subunit ribosomal RNA
Source: RNAcentral